UAGGGUGCAAUGCAGCCUGCUGGGACCGAGGACCGCGCUUCGGCUAGGAUGCUGGCGUAAUGGUUGUAAGCGGCCCGUCUUGAAACACGGACCAAGGAGUCUAACAUCUAUGCGAGUGUUUGGGUGUCAAACCCAUACGCGUAAUGAAAGUGAACGGAGGUGAGAACCCUUAAGGGUGCAUCAUCGACCGAUCCUGAUGUCUUCGGAAGGAUUUGAGUAAGAGCAUAGCUGUUGGGACCCGAAAGAUGGUGAACUAUGCCUGAAUAGGGUGAAGCCAGAGGAAACUCUGGUGGAGGCUCGCAGCGGUUCUGACGUGCAAAUCGAUCGUCAAAUUUGGGUAUAGGGGCGAAAGACUAAUCGAACCAUCUAGUAGCUGGUUCCUGCCGAAGUUUCCCUCAGGAUAGCAGUGUUGAAUUCAGUUUUAUGAGGUAAGGCGAAUGAUUAGAGGCCUUGGGGUUGAAACAACCUUAACCUAUUCUCAAACUUUAAAUAUGUAAGAAGUCCUUGUUACUUAAUUGAACGUGGACAUUCGAAUGUACCAACACUAGUGGGCCAUUUUUGGUAAGCAGAACUGGCGAUGCGGGAUGAACCGAACGCGGAGUUAAGGUGCCGGAAUAUACGCUCAUCAGACACCACAAAAGGUGUUGGUUCAUCUAG
RNAcentral lists this ribosomal RNA (657 nucleotides) under uncultured Ascomycota. Its description in RNAcentral is "LSU rRNA". It matches the Rfam family "Eukaryotic large subunit ribosomal RNA", at positions 575 to 1236 of the family's 3401-position model. Lineage: Eukaryota; Fungi; Ascomycota. The record is from RNAcentral.